This is a ribosomal RNA of Larimichthys crocea (large yellow croaker), 119 nucleotides long. The record is from Ensembl. NCBI's taxonomy places the organism in Eukaryota, Metazoa, Chordata, Actinopteri, Sciaenidae.
ACUUACGACCAUACCACCCUGAAUGUGCCCGAUCUCGUCGGAUCUCGGAAGCUAAGCAGGGUCAGGCCUGGUUAGUACUUGAAUGGGUGACCGCCUGGGAAUACCAGGUGCUGUAAGCU